This 606-nucleotide ribosomal RNA is filed under the name uncultured bacterium. RNAcentral's name for it is "bacterial SSU rRNA". It matches the Rfam family "Bacterial small subunit ribosomal RNA", at positions 36 to 637 of the family's 1533-position model. The record is from RNAcentral.
CUACGGGAGGCCUAAACAUGCAAGUCGAGGGGUAACGGAAGUAGCUUGCUACUAGACGACGACCGGCGCACGGGUGAGUAACGCGUAUGUAAUCUGCCUUGUACAGAGGGAUAGCCCAGAGAAAUUUGGAUUAAUACCUCAUAGUAUUACUGAAUCGCAUGAUUUGGUAAUUAAAGCUCCGGCGGUACAAGAUGAACAUGCGUGACAUUAGCUAGUUGGUAAGGUAACGGCUUACCAAGGCCACGAUGUCUAGGGGUUCUGAGAGGAUGAUCCCCCACACUGGUACUGAGACACGGACCAGACUCCUACGGGAGGCAGCAGUGAGGAAUAUUGGUCAAUGGACGCAAGUCUGAACCAGCCAUCCCGCGUGAAGGAUGACUGCCCUAUGGGUUGUAAACUUCUUUUAUAUGCAAAUAAACCUACUUUCGUGAAAGUAGCUGAAGGUAGCAUAUGAAUAAACACCGGCUAACUCCGUGCCAGCAGCCGCGGUAAUACGGAGGGUGUAAGCGUUAUCCGGAUUUAUUGGGUUUAAAGGGUACGUAGGCGGUAAUAUAAGUCAGUGGUGAAAUCCUGCAGCUCAACUGUAGAACUGCCAUUGAAACUGUA